GGAUCAAUAUUUCGGUCAUGCCGUUGGUAUGCACUGUUAUCAUUGAUUUCUCACCUCCUAAAGAACCGUGAUGCCAUUAAUUUGGUGUUACGGGGAAUUAGGACUGUUACCUUGAAAAAUUAGAGUGUUUAAAGCAGGCUCACGCUUGAAUACAUUAGCAUGGAAUAAUGAAAUAGGACAUCCGAUUCUAUUUUGUUGGUUUCUAGGAUCGAUGUAAUGAUUAAUAGGGAUAGUUGGG
Molecule: ribosomal RNA, 238 nt
Filed under: uncultured Glomus
Lineage: Eukaryota; Fungi; Glomeromycota; Glomeromycetes; Glomerales; Glomeraceae
Description: partial 18S ribosomal RNA
Rfam family: Eukaryotic small subunit ribosomal RNA
Source: RNAcentral